AUGCAAGUAUACAGUGCAAUUUGAAGUUUUGAGAAGGGGUGCUGUUUGUUUUUGUGCUGUUUUCUCGACUUGUAACGACGCGCGCGAGUGUGUGAGAUGGAGAUUGUAAAUAACAUUUACAUAUCUAAUGUAAAUAUUGAAAAUACGAUGACGACUUCUUUAUGAAUGCACAUCGCCUUGUUUUUGUAAGGUUCUAUUCAAAAAUUUGAUUGUCUUGUCGGGUUACAAUCUGUCAAUAUCGCAG
RNAcentral lists this long non-coding RNA (244 nucleotides) under Olea europaea (common olive). RNAcentral describes it as "long non-coding RNA (OEUR_LNC012585)". The record is from RNAcentral. Lineage: Eukaryota; Viridiplantae; Streptophyta; Magnoliopsida; Lamiales; Oleaceae.